CCUCUGCAAUGCAAGAUAAUAAUAUGGUUGCACAAUGUUUCUUGAGAUCAUUAGUAGCAUUAUUAACAUGAUGUGUAUUAAAAUUUCAUGCAAGUAUAAAUGUGUGUGGCUAUAAUAUAUGUAACCUAUGGAAAAACAAUAAAGGAUGGCUUACAUUGUCCCUGCAACCCGGGUGCUGAUGUGGGUUUUCUCGUCAUCAUAAAGCUUUGCCAAUCCAAAAUCUGAUAUUUUUGGGGAGAGUUCUGCAUCGAGCAAAAUAUUACUGGCCUUAACAUCUCGAUGUACAAUCCUUGGCCUUGACUCCUCGUGAAGGUAAGCAAGUCCUCUUGCUGUUCCCAACAAUAUAUUGAAUCGAGUAGGCCAGUCAAGGUGCAAGUUACUUGUCCCUGAAAUAUUUGUGAACACAUCUAAUCAAAAACAUUUUUAAGUAAUUUUAGAGUGCUUGAAACUACAGAAAAUGUUGUUUCUAUGUAACCUAAAAGUAGAUAGGUUUGUACCAAAAAGUGCCUGAUCAAGGCUCUUGUUUUCAAGAUACUCAUAAACCAAAAUGCGCUGGCUGCCUUCGAUGCAGCAUCCAUACAAUUUCACUAGAUUCCGAUGUUGCACUGCAGAUAUGGUAGCAAUUUCAGAUACAAAUUGACUCUUUCCUUGGUGAGAUGCUACUGAAAGUUGCUUCACAGCCACUAUUCUCCCAUCAGAAAGUGCACCCUACAAUGUACACAUAAACACAAUUUAGUGACAUGAAAGGAAAGAAAAAAGGAGCUAUAUUUUCCUCUCGCUUGCUCGCUCUUUCUCCCUUUCUCUUGUCAUUACUUCAAGUACAUGAUAUUGAUGUAAUACGGAUUUCACCUUAUAAACAGGGCCAUAUCCUCCCUCUCCUAGCUUAUUUGAAGUAUUAAAAUCUUCAGUUGCGGUUCUCAAUUCAGCAUAACUGAAAGUAUAUGGUCGGGGGCCUAAUCCUAGAAUAUCUGCACAUUCAUGAAACAGUUGACAUAAGUUUUACUUUCGUGAAAGCAUUCUUACUUCUGUGUGUUAAUAUUAGGGCAGCAAAACCUGAAUUGGGUACCAAUAAUGAUAUGGUCGUUUACCUUCAUCGUCUUCUUUUUCUGAUUUUUUCCUCCUCAUAUAUAGAAUUGCAAAUAUUAAUAGCAAGCUCACAACUCCAAUAGGAACUGCAAUACCGACUAUCAACCCAGUCUUGCUCUUCUUUCCUGGAGUAGUUGGUGGAAGCCCGGCAACUGUUGGUGUAAAAUCUGAGUAAUAAAACAGAUGAAUUCUUCAGUGUCAAUUAAUAGCAGAAAAAUACAUUUAAACCAAUCAUAGGAAAUCUCUAUAAGUAACACAUAUUAUACCUGAAGCAGCAUGGACAGCUGCUAUUAGCGGGCCGUAAUCACCUUGUUCGGGUAUGCAACAAGUCCCUUUACCAGCCCAGAACAGAUGAAUUUCAAGAUAAUUCUCUGACACGUUAACAUUAAAUUUUCUCACAAUUGCUCGGUUAACACCACCUGCCGCCGACGAUAUGUCCAAGUCCUUCGUCAUGCGGGUACCCUAGCAACCAAAUGAACAGGUAGGUGAUAAUUCUAGUCUCCUUUAAAUCAUUGUAGCUUAAAACAUAGAAAACCUGUCCAAUGAGUGUUUACUUCAAAUAAGUCAGAAUUUUUAUUCUAUAAGCAGCCUUACCUGAAUAUAGAUAUCAAAUACACGCCGUCCUAGACUUUGCCAUUUUUGCGAAGUGCGACUUUCAUAAACCGUCUCUGCAAAGUGCAAUGUUACAGUGUAAGGCCCAUUCUCAAGGCUCAGGCCAUAGUAUCUCAGUGAUCCUGGGGACACUCUUGAAGUCUGGAAAAGCUCCGGGGUCACAUCCGUUCCGGUGACUUGUGCAAGGGUAUUUUCCAGAAACGACGGGUCCUUUCUGUCAGAAAACAAACCGGCAUUGCUGACAGCCCAUUUCUCUGUACUAGUUACAUUGAAUGUUGCUGCGCCAAGAGCUGAGUCUUCAGUCUCAUACAAUAUGCCAUCACUUCCCGUCAUUUGUUUUCCACCACAGUUGAUUGAGAAGUUUGCAUCUGUAAAGUUUCAUGUAAUACCAGAAGCCAGCCAUGAUUAGCGAUGAAACGUCAAAUUGAAGACUCAUGCUAAUGUUCAUCAGUCACAUAUUUCUAACCAGUUAUGCGUAUUACUGAACUGAUGAAAACAUGCUUGCAAUCUAUAUCCAUAUGUAUACAUAACUAGAGAAGCAAUGCCUUUUCCUCUAACAUGACGAUGCGUUAAAAUAGUAAAUGAUUGAGAAGUUUGCAUCUGUAAGUUUCAUGUAUUACCAGAAUCUACCCAUGAUUAGCGAUGAAACUUCAAAUUGAAGACUCAUACUAAUGUUUUUCAGUCACAUAUUUCUGACCAGUUAUGCUUAUUUCUGAACUUAUGAAAACAUGCUGGCAAUCUAUAUCCAUAUGUAUACAUAACUAGAGAAGCAAUGCCUUCUCUAACAUGACGUUGAGUUAAAACAGUAAAUGUUGGGUGACAUAAAAGCAGAUUACAUCGUGGGGCAUUUCGAUUGCAUGGAAAAUUUCUCUGGAGGCAAUCCAAUCCAGGAAGACUGCAAACACAGAACAAUUAUUAGUUAUCCAAAUAGAAACAUGUAGUGGAAGAGUAGUGAUAGUAUUGCUUGUCUAAAAACAAGUAAGAGAAACUUCAACUCACGUUAUGUUUGAACUGUCAAAUGUGAAGUUGUUGACCACUAAGUUCCUGCAUAAAAUCAUUAAUCAAUCACCAUAUGAAGAAAUAUAUCUUUAUCAAAUGAAAAUUCCAUGUACAAGAUCAAAAAUUAGUAGGCAAGUAGCACUGUGAAAACGAAUCUCAACGAUAAUUUUUUGUCCGAACAUAUUCUGUUGAUUUAAACUGUAAAAUGAAGGUGAAAGAUAAAAGGACACGUACAGUUGCGAUAUUGUGGUCACCCACUGGGGAAAGCUUCCUGAUAAAAAAUUGUAAGACAAAUCUCUGCAAAUAACAAAAUAGAAUCAGAAGGCACAAAAUGCAUGAAAGUUAUUAAGAACUUGUGUAAGAUAGGAUUAGAAUGCUUACAAUUAUACACAAACACACACAUGCACCGUGCAUUCUAUAUGACUACUUUAAGAAAUGAGGACUUACAUAGUCUCAAGUUGAUUGCUCUUUUGGCUUGGAAGAGGUCCGGACAGACUAUUGUUUCCAAGAAACCUGGCCAUUUCGAUUAUAGCAGAAGGCACCCAGAAAAGAAAAAGAGAUGAACAAACAAAAGGUCAGAUGUGCACAAAAUCUAGAAGGAUUAGUCCAGAUAUUCAAUCAAAGUAGGGAAUGUUAAAGAUUUGAUAACUUAUGUAUGAUAAGGCAAGAAAAAGAUAAUAAUAAAGAUGGGGAUUACAAGGAUGUAAGAGAACUCAAGUUGAACAAAGAACUUGGGAGUUGGCCUGUCAAAUUGUUGAAACUCAGAUCCCUGCACACCAACGAUAAGUUGAGAGGAGGAAUCAGAAUGCAAGAAAACUAAUUGGUCUCGUUGGGACUCAAGCUUAUAUUUGCUGGUACGUACAGUGUCUGUAGACUUUGAUAUUCUCCAAUAUCAGAUGGGAUGGUACCAGUGAUUAAUGCGUUUCGCAGUUUUCUAUACUCCAAAAACAUAAAAUUUGAUAAAAGUAGAUGGAGUAAGAUAUCACAUUUCAAAAGGAAAAAGAAGUUAGAUGAAAGUAUCUUGAUCGAUGAGAAUCUUCACUUACAAUUCAGUCAAGCUUUUCAGAUUUUUUAUGAAAUCAAGAGAGGAGCUCCCAUUGUAUAUAUCACUGAUUCGCCUACAUCAUUAUAUGCAAAAUAAACUGAAAUCCUGUCUUCGGAGAAAGAGAGAGAAUUACAAUUUAUGAAACAUUUGUACUUACAGAGAGGUCAAUGAGGUCAGCUGAGAAAAGCUGGUUGGUAUUGGGCCUUCGAAAGAGUUCCCUUGAAAUCGCCUACAGAAACAUAUAAGAAGCUUGUCAACUAAGUAUCCAUCUCAGGUCUGCUUUCAUAAACUGCAUAAGAUCAAAAUUUUAUGUGGCUUACAAAGAAGUGAGUUGUGUCCAAUUCCCUAUGAAAUCAGGUGUCUUUCCUGAGAAAAGACUGUCCGAUGCCCAACUAAAAUUCAAAAAGUUGACUUAUAAUAAGCUCAUCCAAGAAAAGCAAUAUCAAAGUACUAGAUAAACGAACAAAUCUAAAAUACGAUUUAAGAGCCGUUCUUACAGGGUUUGCAUGUUGGUGAGCUUGGCGAAUGUUGAAGGAAUUUCACCACUGAGUCCACAGCUGUCCAUGUAACUGUGAAAAUCAUAAGGCAACUGAUUUGUUAGGAAUGUCGGUACUACAAGAUAGAGAAUGCACAAGGUAAAGUAGAAAAUGGACGCCAAGAAUUUAUGUGGUUCGGCAAUUUAUGCCUACGUCCACCAAACAAGGAAUCUUCACUAUAUGAAAAAAGAUGAAUACAACAAGAGUAGUCUUACCAAGCCAAAGACAAGGCUUGAUGGAUACAAGAAAGUAUAACACACACUUUCUAUCACUCUAAACUUCACUCACACAAUGUGUAGUGGAACACUCUCACUCUCACUCUUGGAGUGGAACUCUAGCUUUGGACUUGAUCCUUUGCUACUCACUCUUUCUUGAUUUGUUGUUUCACUACAACAUCACACCCAUAUUUAUAGGUGAGGGUUUGGCAUUCUACUAGUUUCUAGUGUAUUCUUCAAACCUCUAGCAUAGAAAGAUCUAGACUAGCCACAAAAGUGUGGCUUCUAGAUCUUUCCAUUUGCAACCAAGGAAGCUAGUACUCUCUAGCUUCUUCCAUCAACUUAAUAACAUGCUAGAAUUGUCUAGCAUGCUCCAGCCAUCUCUCUUGCUUACUAGAAUAAUCUAGAACAUUGAUCAUGGGCUGGACCAUAUACCAACAAUCUCCCCCUCCAGUCCAUGAGGAAGGAAUUCCGAUCAUGACUGCAAGUUACCUGGAGUCCAUCCCAGCAGCCUUAAUGCAGAAUUCCAACUUUGAUUUUGUGACCACCUUUGUCAACAUGUCUGAAGAAUUAUUAUCGGUAUGAAUCUUCUUCAGCUGUAGCAUCUUGUUCUCGAUAGCAUCUCUAAUCCAGUGAUAACGAAUAUCAAUGUGCUUGGUGCGUGAAUGGUAUGCAGUGUUUUUGCUCAAAUCCAGAGCACUCUGACUAUCACAAUAAACGCCAUAAUCACUUUGUUUCAAACCCAACUCUUGGAGAAACCGCUUCAGCCACAACAACUCCUUGCAUGCUUCUGUAGCGGCUAUGUAUUCAGCCUCGGUUGUAGACAAAGCAAUGCACUUUUGUAACUUGGAUUGCCAAGACACGACUCCCCCUGCAAAAGUAAACAAGUACCCAGACGUAGAUUUUCUACCAUCCAGGUCACCUCCCAUGUCAGCAUUUGUAAAUCCUUCCAAGAUUGGUUUGGAACCGCCAAAGCACAAGCACAUCUUAAAAGUCCCCUUCAAAUAUCUGAGAAUCCACUUAACAGCUUCCCAGUGGUCCUUCCCUGGAUUAGAGAGAAACCUGCUCACCACACCUACUGCAUGAGCAAUAUCUGGCCGUGUGCACACCAUUGCAUACAUGAUACUUCCUACUGCUGAAGAGUAGGGAACAACUGCCAUUUUCUCAUUUUCUUCAUAUGUUUUUGGACACGACUCUUUGCUCAACUUGAUAUGAUUGGCUAAAGGUGAGCUUACCGAUUUGGCUGUUUUCAUGUUGAACCUUUCAAGCACCCGUUCAACAUACUUUUCUUGUGACAGCCACAACUUCUUGGAUUUUCUGUCACGAAUUAUCUCCAUGCCCAAAAUCUGCUUGGCUGGCCCUAAGUCCUUCAUGUCAAAGGACUUAGAUAACUCUUUUCUUUGAGCUUUUUAAUCAUAAAAGCAUCUUGACCGACAAUCAACAUGUCAUCAACAUAAAGCAACAAAAUGAUGAAUUUACCUCCAGAAAAUUGUUUGAUAUAGACACAAGAGUCAGCAUGAGUUCUCUUGUACCCAUUACUCACCCAUGAAUGAGUUGAACUUCUUAUUCCACUGUCUCGGAGCCUGCUUAAGACCAUAUAAACUUUUCUUGAGCUUGCACACCAAAUUUUCUUUACCUUUGACUUCAAAGCCUUUGGGUUGCUCCAUGUAUAUCUCCUCUUCUAAAUUGCCGUGGAGAAAUGCAGUUUUAACAUCUAACUGCUCGAGCUCAAGAUCUAUGCUUGCUGCCAUACCAAGGAUAACUCGAAUGGAAGUCAUCUUCACCACCGGUGAGAAAAUCUCAUCAAAGUCAACUCCUUUCUUUUGACCAAAACCUUUGACAACCAAACGAGCCUUGUACCUUGUCAUGUUGUCGUCUCUUUUCAAUUUGAACACCCACUUGUUUUUCAAUGCUUUCCUGCCCUUUGGAAGCUCCACCAGCUCAUAGGUAUCAUUCUUUGAUAAGGAAUCCAUCUCCGACUCCAUUGCCUUCAUCCAUUUGUCACUGUCGUUAUGAGCUCUGGCCUCCUCAUAUGUUUCGGGCUCUCCAUAAUUAGUCAACAUGAUAUACUCUGAUGAAGAAUACUUGGUAGACGGUCUUCGACUUCUGAUGGAUCUUCUGACCUGAUCUUCAUUCUCUUGUAGGGCUGGAGGCUCCCCCUGAUUGGGUUCUCCUUGAAUCUGCUCUUCUUGACUAGGCUCCCCCUGAUCAGCAAUCUCAUGGUCUGGCACAUCUUGAUCAGGCUCCUCUUGAUUAGCAUUAUCUGAUUCUGCAGGCACUUCAUUGGCAGUUGCUUCAGGGAUGUCAUCGUGACUUUCUUCAUCUGAAGCUAAUGGAUCAACUCCUCUGACUGCGCCAUCUGGUUGUGCCUCUUUAUCCGAAUCCCCAAUUGUUUGUUCUUCAUAAAAGACCACGUCUCUACUUCGGAUAAACUUCUUCUGGUAUGGGUCCCAUAAUCUGUAACCAAAAUCUUCACCGCCAUAACCAAGAAAGAUGCACGGUGUAGCUUUGUAGUCUAACUUCGAUCUCUGCUCUUUGGGCACAUGCACAAAAGCUUUGCAGCCAAACACCUUCAGAUGAGAGUAAGACACAUCAUUACCAGUCCAUACUCUCUCUGGAACAUCAAGACCUAAUGGUACUGAUGGAGAUCGGUUGAUCAAAUAGCAGGCUGUCCUUACAGCUUCACCCCAGAACUGCUUAGAUAACUUUGCAGUCCUCAACAUACACCUGACUUUCUCCAUGAUGGUUCGGUUCAUUCUUUUCAGCAACACCGUUAUGUUGUGGAGUUCCAGGAACUGUCUUCUCAUGACGUAUGCCAUGUUUUACACAAUACUCUCUAAACUGGUGAGAUGUGUACUCGCCGCCGUUGUCGCUACGAAGGCACUUGAGAGGUUUCCCAGUUUCCCUCUCCACCAUGGCAUGGAACUCCUGGAAUGUCUGAAACACCUGGUCUUUGGAUUUCAACAAAUACACCCACACCCUUCGUGAAGCAUCAUCAAUAUAAGUAACAAAAUAUUUAUUUCUUCCAAGUGACUCGACUUCCAUGGGACCACACACAUCUGAAUAAACAAGAUCUAACAAGUUUCCUUUCUUUGUAGAUGGAACAGAAAAAACUAACUCUUCUUUUGUUUUCCGAAUAAACAAUGCUCACAAGAGUUUAACGACGUACCUUCGGUAAAGGGAAUGUGAGACUUAUUUGCCAAAACUUGUAGGCCUUUCUCGCUUAUGUGGCCUAGCCUCUUUAUGCCAUAAGUCUAGAGAUGAGUCCUCCACAGCAUUCAACUCACCUUUCAAAACCUUGGCAUUUGACCGGUACAACGUACAACAAAGUCGUGCUCUUGCUACCACCAUUAAGCCUUUAGUAAGCUUCAAUUUUCCUUCGCCAAUAUGGUGAUAAUAUCCUUGUCGAUCAAGGGUACCGAUGGAUAUCAGAUUGAGACGUAUAUCAGGAAUAUGUCUCACAUCUUUCAACAUCAAUUGGCAGCCGAGAUUAGUUCUUAGACAUAUAUCACCAAUUCCAAGAAUUUUGGAAUAGCUUUCAUUCCCCAUCUUCACUAUGCCAAAGUCACCUUCUUUGUAUGUACUGAAGAACUCCCGUUUGGACGUAGCAUGGAAGGAAGCUCCAUUGUCAAAGAUCCAUUCAAUGUCUCUGUCAGAGUUGCCCAUAUGCAGACAUUCACCAACAGACAAUAUUUCUGGUACAUCACCACAUAUGACAGCAGUGGUAUUGCCAGUAUCAUCUUUCUUCUGAUUGUUUCCUUCCCUUUGCUCUCUCUUCCAAACUCGACAAUUUUUCUUCAUAUGGCCUUCUUUGCCACAGUGGUGGCAUGCACCCCUGAACUUUGACUUGGAUCGGCUAGGACUCCUGCCAUGACCUCUAGGCCCUCUACUUUUGCUUCUUCCGCGGUUCUCUGUGACAAAUACUUGGCUGCUAUCUGUGCCAGAAGUCUUUCUCCUUGUUUCUUCAUUGAGCAUGCUAUUUUUAACAUUAUCAAGAGUAAGAAACACCAUUAGAAGCAGAGUUACUUAUACUCACCACAAAGGUCUCCCAACUGUCUGGCAAGGAUCCAAGUAACAAGAGCGCUUGUAGCUCGUCCUCGAUCGUCAUUUUCAUAUAGUAGCCAACUGGUUGAUGAUAUUCUGGAAAUUGUUCAAGUGUUCUGCUACACUUAAACCAUCCUUGUACUUCACAUUGAUGAGCUCUUUGAUCAAGAAGGCUUUCUUGGCUGGGGUCUUCUUCUCGAACAAGGACUCAAGCUUCGUCCAAAACUCGCGAGCAUUGGUUUCAUUAGACACAUGGUGAAAAACACUAUCAUCCACCCAUUGUCUAAUUGUGCCAAUAGCCUUGCGAUUCAUCUUCUUCCACUCGGCAUCGGACAUGCUCUCGGGCUUAGCGGCAUCUCCUUCAAUUGGCUCAUGCAAAUCCUUGCAAUAGAGAAUGUCCUCCAUCCUUGGCUUCCAUGUUACCCAAUUGGAGUUGGUGAGUUUGAUCAUAGUGCCACUUCCUUCCAUCUCGUAGUACGAGCCAACCGGGCUCUGAUACCACUUGUUAGGAAUGUCGGUACUACAAGAUAGAGAAUGCACAAGGUAAAGUAGAAAAUGGACGCCAAGAAUUUAUGUGGUUCGGCAAUUUAUGCCUACGUCCACCAAACAAGGAAUCUUCACUAUAUGAAAAAAGAUGAAUACAACAAGAGUAGUCUUACCAAGCCAAAGACAAGGCUUGAUGGAUACAAGAAAGUAUAACACACACUUUCUAUCACUCUAAACUUCACUCACACAAUGUGUAGUGGAACACUCUCACUCUCACUCUUGGAGUGGAACUCUAGCUUUGGACUUAAUCCUUUGCUACUCACUCUUUCUUGAUUUGUUGUUUCACUACAACAUCACACCCAUAUUUAUAGGUGAGGGUUUGGCAUUCUACUAGUUUCUAGUGUAUUCUUCAAACCUCUAGCAUAGAAAGAUCUAGACUAGCCACAAAAGUGUGGCUUCUAGAUCUUUCCAUUUGCAACCAAGGAAGCUAGUACUCUCUAGCUUCUUCCAUCAACUUAAUAACAUGCUAGAAUUGUCUAGCAUGCUCCAGCCAUCUCUCUUGCUUACUAGAAUAAUCUAGAACAUUGAUCAUGGGCUGGACCAUAUACCAACAUGAUUAAUACCCAUUUCAUACGAUAAAGUGCAAUUUUUGCUCAUCCGUAACGAAUUAACAUGUAAUUCAAAUUUGAUGAUUUAACGAAGCACUUACAUUUGCUCGAGCUUGACUAAAUUACCAAGUUCUGGAGGGAGUGUUCCGGAGAAAUUAUUUGAUCCGAUGCCCCUGCAAGUCAUGUUGAAUAGGCAAACACUUACUUGAAAGCAAUUAUUGAAGAGUGAUAGAAGGUUCUGUAUCUAAUGUUUACGACACAAAAUUUUAUUGUAUGCUCUCUCAUUUUUAUGGCUUACAGCAGAGUUAGCUCCGUAAGGUUUCCAAGCUCCUUGGGGAUGGGUCCAGAGAAUGAAUUGAUGCCAACUGACCUGAAUGGAGAUAUCAGUUAGUGAAAGAUAAGCAUCAUUAAACUUAAUUACAUACAUAACAGGAAACUAGUACUGCAUUAUUCAAUAAAAGCAUAAUGAUUUUUUGUAGAUUACGGCACAAAAAGUAGCGAAAAGGUGUAAAGAACAUAACUGUAGAUUAUGAUAUUCAAAAUGAAGUACAAAUUGCUACGGGUCUCAUCAGAAGUAUGAGUACUUAAAGAAAUGUUCUCUCACUACUUACAAUUCAGUCAAUGCAGACAUAUUGCCAAUGAAUGCUGGUAGGGGACCGGUGAAAUAAUUCUGAUCGAUUUUCCUACAAAAAUUGAAAGGAAGUAUAAUUGUUAACUCUUAAUCUUAUAACAUCACCAUAUUUUUGUUGAAAUCUCACAUCAGCUAGAGAAAUAAAGAAAGAAGAGUUUAAAUAUCCAAAUCUCAUUCCAACUAAUACCGAGACCUUUUGGAAUAAACCUCACACUUAACGGAUUGUGCAAGUGGUACCAAGUUAGGGACAAUAUCUGUGUUGUUGGAAGUGAGCCUUUUGCUCGUCUCUCCGAUAAUUCUACAAUUUUUGAUAUCCAAUAUAUGAUUUUGAUGAACCAAAAACAGAGAAGGGAGUUGGAAAAAAUUCAUACAAAGAUGUGAGAUAUCUCAGAGCCACAAAUUCUUCUGGAAACACCCCUCGUUUGUUCAGAGCAUACACUCUCCUGGAAAGCAAAAAGAUUGAACAUUUAGAACUACAUAAAAUGGAGCGACACAGUCAAAUUAUGACGUUAAAAUAUAUAGGUAGCAAGUGAAAAAUCAGCAGUGGCAUGGAAAUCUUGUUCAUAAAGAGUAGUUUAACAUACAGUUUGGUGAUGUGGCAUGUAGCAUUGUUGUCGUAAGAACAGUCGCAAACGAUGGCUGGGUUGUUACUGGGGUCCCCAAAGUCGGUGCCGUUGAUGGCAGAUCCACUGCAGGGUUCUCCACUGAUAUUCCACAGCCCCGGCACUGCUUGUGUGUCCCAUUGUUCAAAUAUUGAGUUCAACGCCCUCACUGCACUCUCAGUUAAUUCAGUCCUUGUGUGUAUUAGAUUAUAUCACACCAUAAUUUGAUUUGUGUUACCACUUACCAGACUAUCUCGAACCAAACGAAAGAUCAAAUUGAUUAUUACAAAGGAAAAUUACCCUUAAUUUUUGGAUGUUUUGUAUAUGGGAUGAAAAAGGGCCUUACAAUAAUUUCUUCGAAACUUCGUUUCAUAUAGUCGAAAAACACUUAAAAUGUCAAUUUGUUGAGGGAAAAAAAAGCCCAGUUCCUGGUCAGAAACACUUAAAUGUGGCAAAGUGUGUGUGUAGGGAGAGAGAGAGAGAGAGAGAGAGAGAACCUUCAGAUGGAUCGGUGGUAGCAUUUUGAGCAAAUGACAGCUGAAACCAGAAGUAGCUGAGGAAGUAGAGUAAUAGUAUCCUCAUCAUCAACUUCAUCUUCAUAUUGUACAUGUGCAGAACUUGCUCUCCUCGACGGCGUGAAUUUAAACGACCAACACUUACAUUCCGACUGGCUGAAUCAUGCACCGCAUGUAAGUAGAAGAAGACCAUUAGAUUUUAGUCAUAUAUUGACAACAUAUACAUAUAUAAUAUAUUUUGUCCAAGUUGCAUGAUCAAAUGGCGGCCACUUUAAUAAUUUCCCACCUGGAGUAGGCCAAGACUUUGAUCAUAUUAGUUGAAUUGUAUACUGUAAUAUUACACAUUGAGCUGCUUUAGUAUUGAAAUAUUUAUGUACAAUUUUAGAUUGUUAAUAUUUUUGUGGUUGAAAAAUCAAGGAAUUGACUUAUGGAUUUACAUUCUUGCUCAGUUGGUAAUUAUGGAGAGGGAUUUUUCUGGAUAGCGAAAGAACAAAGGAUUAAUUCUUUGUUAGUUGGUGAUUUUGAUAUGACAUCAACCGAGGAUGUCAUUGUGACAAUUCUUAAGCUAAUCACAUUAUUAUGUUUGACAAAACACAUGACACACUAUUUGAUUAGUUUUUUAUUUCUUUCUAAAAAGAUAGGCAACUAAUGACAAACCACGAUUAUUCACCUUUUUUGGGCUAGAAAUAGGCUAAUUAGAAAUUGUACACACAUUACAAAGUAUCGAACUCAGGAUUUUCACAAUUAGCUUAAAAUAUUGCUAAAAUUGCAUGUAUGUUGUUAGUUUGUCCAGUAAAAGAAUAAUAUUUCAUUCAUAAUUUUACGUAUAAAUAAAACGAUAAAAUGAAUUUUUGAUAAGUGGACAUGGAUUUUUUCAAAGAAAAACAAAGGUGGGAUUUUCAAAAAAAAAAGAAAAGAAAAAUCUCUGGUGGAAUUUUCAAAAGUUGUGGCUGAAUUGAAAAUUCAAUCGGGAUGAAAAUAUCUGCAAGUUGAGUUGAAUGGAAAAGGAUAUUUGCCGGAUCAUUUUCUUGAAAAUGCGGAAGAUCUUGUGAUUGUAUCUGUUUAUCGUACCUCGUGCGAUAAGUUUUUGUUAAAUAUUAUUUAUAUUUAAUUUUAAAUUUUAAAUUUUAAAUAAUUUCUGACCGCAUAAUGUACGAUUAACAGACAUGAUCGUAAUAUCUUUCGGAUCCCCAGAAGAAGAAUCCGGGAUCCUUUUCCGAAUUGAAUGAUGCAGCCAGAAAAGUCAAAAGAGGAUAUGUCUGGAUGGAUUAGAAUCAUCUCCGGAACAAUUACAUCCGUCCUAAUCCGUUUUUGAUUGAUGACAGAAAGUCAAACUGCCACGUAUGAACCCAUCACCAUCCCACCCACCUUGGCUUAAUUAUUCUGAUGCCUUGUUCUUAAAACAAAAGGAGGUAGGCGAUGAAUUGCUGUACUGACGUUAUAAUGGAAGGGGUGUGCUAUCCACACACUCAUUUUUAUUUCUCACACACCUCUUGUUAAUUUUAUUUCUGUUAAUCUUCUUUAUUUCAUCUGAUCCGACGGCCGAAAAUUAAAAGAGAUGUGAGGAGUAAAAAAGGGUGUAUGGAUAUUACACCCUUAAUGGAAUCGGUAUUUAAUUAAUCAUUUUAUUGGCAUUAAUUAUGUACUUAAUUAAAAGUAUGUAUAACUUAGUUGAUGCAAUGAACUAUCAUAGGAUUAUACUUUUAGUCCAAAAAGACCGCUCAAACCGAUAGGACUAUACGCUUUAAUGAGAGUUGGAAGAGAACAUCUAACGUAUGUAGUAUUAUCCUAAUUUUAUAAAGAAAUUAUUUCUAGGACUUAAACUUGUGAUUUUUUUGGAUCACAAAUGAACAACAUUUCCAUUACGCCAAAAUUCACCUUCAAUUGUAGCUUUAAUCUAUAAACAAAAUAUGGAACACUGGUUAUUGACGCUAAUUCCUUGAGGAUUCUGAUUAAAAGGACCAUAUGGGCAAUUCACUAAUUUACUGUUCUUAAAGGUACUCCUCGGAUUUUGGCCAAAAAUUCUUAUAGAGUUAGCGUGAAGGACUAAUGUUUCACAUUUAUCGAACUCAUAAACUACUUUUAAUAGAUCCUUAAUUUGUAGACUAAAAUUACAAUUUAGUCAUAAUUCACCAACCAAUACUGUGAUUUUCUCCUUUAUAAUGUUUGGGGAAAAUACUGUUCAUAUCAAUUAUCAAAGACUCAUACUCAUCCUCGCAAUCGUAUCAAUAAGUAAAGGGUAAUGCUAUUUUGCUAUUUAUUUUCUUUAAUUCAUUUUAUCCGAAGAUAAGAAAUUAAGAAAAAUGUAUAAAAAGUAAAAAUAAGUAUGUGAAUAGCAUCAUCUUAAAUUUAUCUCUCUUAGCAUAAAAUAAAAGAAAAACUAAUGAAAAGAACUUGAAAACUUUGAGUUUUAAUCAAAAUGACAAAAAGGCAAAAAGAUGUUGUAAGUGAAUAGUACUAGAAGUGACUUUUUUAGAGUAAAAAUGUCAUUUUUUGUUAAAGUAAACAGUACUAAAAGUGUUUUGUUAAAACAUAGUAAAAUAAAACUUAUAGUUUUUAUUAACCAAUUAGACAAAUUGGGUAGGAAAAGGAAGGAAUACACAUAUUCUGCCAAGUUACAUUGGUGUAAAAACACGUAGCUUGCACAUGCAGUACGAUCAAGUUGCGGCCCAAGUUGAUGAGUUUUCCAUAAAGUUAAAUGAGUUUGAUCAUGGAUAAUAUAUUAAAUAUAUAAAGAAUUAUUAAAUAUUGCCAAACAACAGCAGUGUUUUAAAUUUUUUUAAACUAAGCAAACAGACAGGGAAAUGUAAAAAUUAAGUUCCUAUAUUUAUUUUUCCUACUUUAUUAAUUAAAAUUUUAUUAAUUUUUAAUUUUUAAUCAAAAUUCUUAAAUUUUAAUAAAUGUUAUUAAUUAUUUUAAACGUUACAUUUGGUAUAUUUGUGCCCAUGCUAAUUAUAUGUAUUUAUUUUAUGUUUUAAAAUAUAUCAAGAGUUAUUUUUCAAAAUAUGUUAAUAAUUAUGUGGGUACAUUAUUUUUUGCUAUAAUUUUUGUGAAGAACAAUAUUACUCUAAAAAAAAAUUUUAAGUAUAUUUUAAAAAUAUUAUUUAAAUUUGUUUAAAUUUCAUAAUUUGUGGAACAUUAAAUACAUAAAGACAUGAAUUAAAUCUCUUAAACGAUGCUAAGAUUUCGAUCAAAUUAUUUAAACAAAUAAAAUUUUAGCCUAACAAUUAGGUUGAUUAGGGACCACAGCCAAAAUGACGAUAGGAAAAUAUACUGCUUUUGAAUGCAUCUGUUGGCUACAGUUGAGGAUGAACUUUUAACAUUUCGAAAGAGAAAGAUUAGCGGUUGAUCUCCUGUAUUUUAUAUGUGCAUAUCAUAUGAAGAGAGAGAGAAAGAGAGAGAGAGAGAGAGAGAUAUACCCGUCCUGCUGUUGAAGCAGAAGAUGGAGGAGCUGAAGCAGAAGCAAGCAGCAAACUGGUGGGAAGAUAUCAGAGAUGGUGGCUUCUUCGCCCACUAGCUCUGAAAAUUCAUCCCCUCUCCUCUCUCUUUAUCCUAGUAUGAGUGUGUAUGAGAAUGAAAAGGACAAUUCCCACUUACAUAAACCAAAAUAUAUACGGACAAGGAUUGUCUGCUCUCUACUUCCGGUGCUUUCUUCGUAUCUUCCUGUUUUGUGUGAUCACGGUUAAAUCACGUCAAUAUUUUAUAUUUUUUUUAUAAAUAUAAUAAAACAAAAAUGAAUAGUAAUAUAAAAUAUUGACGUGUCUUAACUAUGACCACACAAAUAAAAGAGCACGAAGAAAACACCGGAAAUAGAGAACAGACAAUCCUUGUCCAAUGUAUAUGGCCUCAUGGGAGUAGUAUAUAUAAUUAUAUAUAGUGGCAUGAUUAGUCUUUAGCCAAUGUCAGUCUCUGUAUUCUUCAAACCAGCAAUUUCUUUAUUCAACAACUAGAAUAAUUAAAAUGUAGAAACACGAAAUGUAAUAUGAUAUUUAUGCAUUUUAUUAUUGGUUUGAUCUCUAUGAAUUCUCUUUUUCCUAACAAUUAACAACUUAAUUCAAUAAUGUUAUUAUUUAUUAAAAAGGAAAAAAAAAUGAAGUAAUUAACUUUUUUUUUUCAUAUUUUUAACUAGAUGUAAAAGCUAUUAAACCUUAGAACCUAAACAAGUUCCUGCCCUCUAAUCCAAAUUUUCCUUCACUUUGUUGAGAUUCUGCUAAUUUCAUUUAGCCUUUCAUGUUUCUCUUUAAAAAAAAAAUCGUAACUUUGCACCUUUAACUCAAUUUUCCUUCAUUUCGUCGAGAUUCUACUAAUUCGUAAAAAAUGAACGGAAUACGUGACAUGGUAUACAUUUUGUUUAUGUGCAUCCGUUAAAGCUAAACAUCUUAUGGUUCAUUAACUUUAAUCAAAUUUGAGCAAUAAUCCAUUAACUAAAAAUUCAUUAUCAUUAGUCCCGCAACUCAUCAAAACGUAUAGUUAUGAUCAUUUUCGUUAACUUCGUGAGAAUUUUGUCAAAAUGAGUUAUGUUGGAAGGAUCAUUGUUACAAUUGAGAUCCCUCAACUCAUCAAAACUUCUAGCUAUGAUUUUUUCGUCAACUUCGUUAGAAUUUUGUUAAAAUGAGUUAUGUUUGAAUGAUCAUUGCUACAAUUGGGUUAAAGUUGAGGGAUUAUUGUUCCAAUUGAGUUAAAGUUAAGGGAUCAUUUUUCCAGUUAGAUUAAAGUUGAGGGAUCAUUUUUCCAGUUAGAUUAAAGUUGAGGGGCCAAGGGUAAUAAAUUUUUAGUUGAGGGAACAUAGCUGUACGUUUUGAUGAGUUAAAAGAUUAAUGAUAAUAAAUUUUUAAUUUAAGGACCAUUAUUCUAAUUGAAUUAAAGUUAAAAAAUAUUACUACAACUUAGACACAUAAAAAAAAAUCAUAUUAUAAAAUAACAUAUAUAAAGUUUCGCUUCGUAUUUUGAGCACAUUGAAAUCUCUAUAGCGAAAGAGUGAGUUGCUAGCUAUUGAAAUUCCCUAAGGUAUUGGUAAUUGUGUUUAAUUAAAAGAUAAAAAAAAAUUAAAUAAUUUUAUUGUCAAUUGAAUGAGUUGGUAUGCCAAACUUCAAUUUUGACCUCUCUUUGCUGUUUCAUUUAUUGGUCAAAACACCCCUCUUCCACAUCUCAUGCCUAUCUUCGGUCUCACUCGCGAGCAUAUCUGCAGUACUGACUCAGGGAAAGGACGCAGCUGACAACCCUCAAGGUUCAGAUCUCUCUGUUAUAGCUUUCUGUAAUUAAUUAAUUCAAUUAAGAGCUCUGUUUCUCCGUCUUUUUUUUUUAAUUUUUUUUAUCAGAUUAUCCCUGAUUUAUGCGUCUGUUUCUGAAUUUGUGAAUAACAUGGGAAUUUGUGUAAACUGCUCCUGAAUUUGUGAAGAAUAUGGGUGUUUUGGUUCUCAGAAAAUAUUUGUGAAAUUUUGGUUUAUGUUUCCGUCUCUGGGUUGAUCUGUUUGUAUUCAAGUUCUCAUUUUUUUCCCCCUCCAUGGAUGUAAUUUAAGGGUGUACUGCUUGAUUCCCGGGAAACUUUGGAAGGAAAAUGAUAGAAAUUGCAAUGCAACAUAUACACCAACUCUUUCUAUUUGUGAAUUUCUGUGUGUUUGGUUAGAACCUAAGGCCUCGUUUGGUCUCUAGGAUCGGAUUGGAAUGGUUGAAAUAACAAUGAAUCGUAUAAUUUUUCUUAUUAGUAAAUUGAUUUCUCAAUUUGGUAUGAUUGAGAUCUUCUCAUGCUGUAAUAUCAUAAAGGGUGACCCCAAGCCAACAAGGCUCUAAGGAGCGACCUUUCUGUUGCGCUAAGGCUCGCCCUCGCUCUAGUAAUGCCGUAGAAUAUGGAUAACUUGUUCCCUUAUGAUCUUUUUAAGUUUUUUUCCCAGAGUUGCAUAAUUUUGAUCAAGAACUAUUAUUUUUGUUGGGAUUGAGACCCAAAAAAAAUCCUUUUGCAGAUUAAAAUUCCGAAAGAAACUCUCGUAGGCAUCAAAUCGGCAACAGAAGUACGAAUUGAAGGCGGUAGUUGAAAUGAAGAAAGAAGGAGCCGAGGAAACAAGCAUGGAGAUAGUGAAGAAGUUUUUGGAGAAAGAAGGUGAAAUGGCAAUCGCCAUGGAUAGUCUGCCCGACAGGUUCUUUGAGCCCUUCAUCCUGAAAGGCAUUAACGUCGAUCUCCUUGAACCCGGACACAUUGUUUGCUCCUUCAAAGUACCCCCGCGUUUGGUGAACGGGGGCAAUUUCUUGCACGGUGGAGCCACAGCAACCCUUGUGGAUUUGAUAGGAUCAGCUGCAAUCCUCUCCUCUGGAGCUCUCAGUUCCGGAGUUUCGGUGGAGAUCAAUGUGUCGUACUUGGAUUCGGCUUAUCCUGGCGAGGAAGUUGAGGUCGAGUCCAGGACGUUACGUGUUGGGAAGACUGUUGGUGUUGCCAGUGUUGAGAUCAGGAAGAAGAAGACUGGGAAGAUUAUUGCUCAGGGCCGUCAUACCAAGUACCUUGCUGUUUCUAGCAAACUCUGAACAGCUAGGAAAUUGAACCAAGGCAUACUGUUCAGUCAGUGUUAAGAUUUUUCGACAUCGAAUAAUUUUUUCUGGAGUGAAUUGUAAUACAAGCAAUGCUCAGUCAAAUUCUCCGUGACUGAUACAAAUAGUUAAGAACAAUACAAUAUUUCACCAAAAGUUGUCGAAAACCAGAACAUUUAACUGCUUAAGCUUUUAGAUAAUAACAUGAUCCAAUCCUCAAAAUUGUAUUGCUCAAAUUUGUAUUCCUCAGACUGAUACAAUUGUUAAGAACCAGUAAAUGCUUAUAAAAAAUUCUCAAAAAACAGAACAGAUAAUCAGUUAACCAUUCGAUCACAACAUUCACUGAAUCACGAAAAGUUAACCGAAAUCAAGAAAACAACAUUGACCAUUUGAGUCACAAUUCGUCAAAAUCAUAUCCAUCGUCGUUAUUAUAUCCCUCAUCGUAAUUGUAUACUUCAUCAUAAUUGCAUCCAUUAUAUUCGUCGUUUGCAACAUGUGUAUCAUCGUCAUAGCCUUCUCCGGCUUCAGCCUCUUCACUGUACGUAUUUUCAUGUUCGAGCUCCUCAUCAGGACUAACUUCAAAAUGAAUCUUUUUCUGAUUUGACAGCUGUUUACCACUGCCGCAAUUAGACUCUUUGCGUUCUUCAAAUCCAGGUCCCUGAAAAACAGACGGAGAAAAAGGUCAGAUUAAGCAAAUUCAGGAUACAUUGACAAGUUCUGGCCGUUGCUCGUAAAAACAGACAUUCUAAAACCUCUUAGGAUUCAUAACUAGGAAUUACAUUGCAAAAUUAUUAUAUAUGGCCAAAAAAUUAUUAACCAUAUAACGAGAUAUAACACUUCCUAUUUCCUAAAGUCUUCUAUUAGCUGCUCGAUUAGCAAACAACCUGUAUAAAGAUCAUGGUUUCACAUAUUUAGGUUUUAUCCUGCCAUAGCUUGUACAACUUCGAUAGACCUUUAUUCCAUCAUACAAAAAUUGGUGUCUGCCGACUGACCAGAAAUAAACGAGUAACAUGUGACGACUGUCAAAGUUUGACAUACUAUUAGUCUACCAGGUUUGUUUGGUUUUUUUUAGUCUUUUGCAAUCUGCAUUAGGUUCACAGGCAACGAGACAUAUAAUGUUUGACAACAUAAUAUGCAAAUUGCAGAGCUAUGAGUGAAGCAAGAAUGAUUCUAAAAUAAGCCGGUGAAAAGAUACUUACAAGUUUCUAUUUUUGAAAUAAGCCGCAUGUGAAAAGAUACUUACAAGCUUUUCAUUCAAAAGCUCAAAGCAUGAAAGUUUUUGAACUCAGCCUCUGCAAGUAAAAAAGAAUACUAAGCCAAGUCUUUUAUCUGCAUUAUCACAGGCAAGACAAUAAUGUUGAUGAAUUAAGCUAUAUGAAGCAAGAAUGAUUCUAAAAUAAGCCGGUGAAAAGAUACUUCCAAGCUUUUCAUUUAAUUUCUUCAAAGCAUCAAAGUCGAUUUUUGAACUCAGCCUCUGCAAGAAAAAAGAAUGCCAUGUAAAUAAUUGUUGGAUAAGAUAUAAGUUGCAUCAGCUAAUUCCCUUACCUCCUUGUUAUUUAUCAGCUAAUUCCCUUACCUCUGGAGGAAUAAUACUUAAACGAAGCAUAUCCAUCAGCUAAUUCCCUAACGUCCUUGUUAUUUAUCACAGUAGAAACUUUGGCGGUUUUUUCUGCAGGUGCAGCUUUCUUGGCUUUUCUGGCUCGUUUUCUACUCUUUCCCUGCCAAAUUUAUCCAUUGUAUGUAGAAAAUUAGAAAUCGAUAAGUAAGGCACAAUGCUGGCAGUAAAACAAAGACAGAUAAACGAAAGGGAAAAACUAAAAAAUAAAUCACAUGCAGAUAAGAUAAAAAAAUAUUAAAAAAGUUAACCAUCACCCAAUACUAAUUUGUAAGCAGGUGUGACUCCAAUAACAGUUGAGAAUUUAGGCACAAACAACGAAGAAUGGUGAAUAAGCUGAAUGAAUCUUCCGAGCAUACACUUUAGAGAACAAUGCACACAUGACAGUCUAGAAAAAUGCAAAGAUAAACUCAAAUGAAGUAAAUAUUGGGAUAAACCACAUAGCUAAGCUAGCCAUAUCCCAUAAUAUAAUGAAUAAAUUCAAGGUUUUGGUUAGAAGGUCCUACUUUGAAAGGAAUGAUUUUACUGCAACGAAAUGCAUAAAAAGUGAAAGCAAGACACCAGUUCCAAGACAUGUCCUCUAUCAUAACUGAAAUUGCCUAUUUAGUGGGGCUUAAGGACUCAGAAUUUGUUGUUUUAUGUGCCUAGGAUCUUAAAAGAAGUAUUCUUCGUAGAUUAGCCAUAGUUUCAAAGACUAGGACUAAAAACAAGUUAAUUGUCUGGAAGACAAAGGGUUUGUUGCAAAUUUCAGUUAGCAGCAGGCUUUUUGAAUUUGGGGGCUAAAAGUUAGAGAAACCAGAAAGAAAAAACAGGUCAAAGAUUAGGGCUUUUGAAUCAAGUACGAAAAGAGAGAGAGUACAAAAGUUCUAGAAAGAGAGAGUUGAGUUAAGAACUUCCAAAAAAUCACUGAGAUAACGAGUAAAGGAAGAAUGAAGAGGCAAAGAGUGGAAGGAAGAAAACCAGAAACCCAUACAAGGAAAAUGUAUACUAGUAUGGUCAUGAUCAAAUGCAAAAUCCCCUCAAUUGUUCACUCUAAACAGUCGUGGCCAUAAAAAAACAUAGACGAAAAAUAAGAACAAAACCAUCGAAUAAACAGAAACUACGAAAUUGCCUAACAUUGCACCAAAUCCUUGUGAAAACAAAUGUGUCAAAACUUAUAGACUUGCAAAGGCAUUACCUGAUCGUAGUCCUUGUUAAGUACUUCCCAAAUUAAUCUUUUAAACAGUGCCGCCUCCUUGCUGUUAAGGUAUCCAGCAACCUAAAAAACAGAAGCAUGAGUUCUUCCAUAUCGAAAUUCACAAACGAAAAAUAGAAGCAACAAUCACAUACGAAUCCAAAUCGCUAUACGGACUACCAAGUGGGCUAUGAUGGAAGUGUUCUCUGAUGGGCAGGUGGGUGUAACUUUCAGGAUCUCUGCCUUUGUGUUUGAUUAAAUUUAUCCCCUUAAUCAUCAGACAUGGAAAAUGUGGUCGAUUGUCAUGAACCAAGAACUGAACUUUUCACAAUAACUAUGAAAUAAAAUUCCAACAACGUCGCAUGCAAACUAAAAAUUCUUAUUAUCAUCGAAAUAUUUGAGCACCUACCUUAAAUUCAUCAACUUAUGGAGAAUGGGCAGACACCAUUCGACGAAAACAAUUCAGAAAAUUGAAAAAAAAUAAUAAGAAAGCAAUGCCUGCUUUAUCAGCAUACCUCGGAGUCGUCGAUAUCUGAGAGGCUUUCUGAGACAUCGCCAUCCGCAGUUGACAUUGCAGCUUGCCGCCUUCUUUUGUAAACUCUGGGUUCUUUUGAAUUUUAUGUAAUUUUAGGUCUUGGGUUUUCCAGUAUUCAUGGAACUUGAAUUUAUAUCGACAGUAAUGUCGGCGACCAAACAAGAACCGACCUAGUUCGGUUUCCCUUUUAGUAUCAAAUCAGUCCAGAUUUGGUUCUGAUUUUUUAAGUUAAACGCGUUAACAAGUUAAAUGUUAAAUUUGAUUUCUAUUUUUUACUGUUUAUUUUGAUGCCAUGAUCUGUUGAUCAAUACAGAAAUUUUAUUUUUUUAAACAUCCUUUUUAUGAGUAAAAUGUAAGUGAAAAAGAUAAUAAAAGCCCAAAAUCUAAAGGGCUAGGCCCAAAAUAGUAGGGGAAUUUAAUCAAGAAACCAGAAAAACUCAGCCCAAUCUGAAAACCAUGUGGUUUUUUUUUGGGUGAACAAAACCAUGUGGCAAGCACAAACGCCAUGCAUUACAUCUUACAUUGUAGAAACGUAUUCCUACUGCUGGAACCAAAUUCGCGCACAAUCAUUGGUAUACGAAUAAUCGUUGGAAUCUCAUGAACACCGAUAAAUAGAAGAAUUGUUUGGAGUAUAUAACUGAAUUCGAAAAUGAUUGCCUACAUAUCUCCUCGUCAAAGAGGAAGAAUCAAAUCACGAGCAGUUCUGCGUUGUAUGAGCAUGUAUGCGUUAGAUGAGAUAUCAGAUAUACGUUAUAUCUCCUUGGAGUGAAUCCUAACUUGAAUAUUUAUAGAUGAUAUCUUUCAACUCUUUGUCUUGCUUUGCAUGAAUGCUUAUGCAUAUGUAAAGCGACAUAUCAAAGCCAAUAUUCUCGAGCUAUAAUCAUGCAAAUAUAAAGUAUAAAACAAUAAUUCAUUUAGCAAUCAAACACCUAAAGCGUCAUUCACAUCAAAUAAAAUGAUAUGAGCAAUAAUUAAAGCUAAGUAGGUAAAAGAUCAUCUUACCAUUAUGUUGUUCUCCUUAAAAUUUCAUUAUUUCAAUUUGAACUCUUUUGUAUAUGUUUCUCCAUACAUUAGUUCUUGUUCUUUAUUUUUAGUGUGGAUCAGAUUCAAAACUCUUUUUCCCACACCAACUCACUUUUUUUUUCUCAUUAACCGACUCCCUCUCACCACUUUCUUUCUUUUCAACUCUCUCCCAACCUUCCAAAACCUCAUUAUUUUCCUUCUCUUCUUCCAGUUCUUUCCCUUCCAGUAGGCUAUUCUCACACCUUCACUUCCCACAAACACCCCCUUCUUUCUCUUUGUCACAGAUGACAAACUACAAAACAACACUUCUCUCUCUCUCUCUCAGUUGUUUUCAUUUUUAUUAACUUGUUGCUCACACUCUUUUCUUUUCUUUUCCUUGCCUCACACAACUCCCUCGACACCUCUCCUUCUCUUUCCUUCUUUUAUGCUUUUCUUCAACCCCUUAUCUUCUUUAAUAUAGCUGAAAAUUUGCAUAUGUAACGGGAGUAGAAUUGGUGAGCAACAUAAAAUGGAGAUGUAGGCCAAAGAGGCUGGCUGAGAAGGCCAGCUCAACCGUACAUAAGCUGUUCAAACUGAUGCAUAGGCCAACAUACAGAUUAGGUUGUCGAGCUUCUUGGAUAAUUUAUAGAAGAGAUGAUAAGGAACAAUUUUUGUGAAUGAAGUGUUUUUGUUUGAUCACAGUAAGUUGGAUUUUUAAGCUCCAAACAUGACUGUAUGGUUUUCCGCCGAUUUUCAAGGCUGUAUAGUAUUUUGAUAAUCUGGAAUGAAUGGACAGUUAGAUCUUUCUGAGACUUUGAUAUGUUAAGUUAGAGAGAAUAAGGAACGAUUUCUAUGAAGAAAAUAUUUUGAUAUGAGUAAGAGAAAAUGUAGUUUCGAAGCUCACAACAGGCCUGACGGGUUGACAGACGAAUGCUGAGCAGUCACUGAUUAUACCUGAGUUUCUGAAGUUAUACAGCUCCUAUGGAUCUCAUAUUUGGAUAUGUUGUAUUUAACGAGUUAACGAACAACUUUCUUGAAGACGGAUUUUUGAUUUGAAGUAUAGAAAAUGGUAAUUUGAUCUGCAAAACAGAUAUGACGAAUUUCUGGUUCUUGAAAUUCUUUCUCUUGAUAACUAGAAGAAAAUGAUGAUGAGUUUGGUGGAGAGAUUUGUUGGGUAAGCUCUUAUGCAUUUUUUGGGAUUUGUAUGUGAUUUCUUUCUCCGGAUUCUCGUUGAAAACUAGAAGGAGAUUUGGUGGUGCUUCACAGAGUUGGAUAAUGGUGUUUCACUAGAACUUGAUAACACAAACAUUCACAUAAACACACAGUAUAGGAGUGGUUCGUCAAAGUGACUACAUCCAUUGAGGUUUGCUUUCAUUUGUAUUUCACUAUAUAUGAGAGACUUACAAAUACAAUGAAAGAUGACUUAAAACGUUUACAUAAGGUAAAAUAAAUGGAUGACGAAAGAGGAAUGGUCUGAGAAAGAGAACAUUCUUUUUGCUAGUGUGUUCUUGCUGGUGUGGUGUUCUCCCUUUUUUUUCCUCGUGUCCUUCUUCUAGUUCUUGCUCCUUCCUUUAUAGGGAUCAUAUGAGAUCUUCCUUCUCACAACGUGUACAAUCUAACUUGAGGUUAAAAGCUCCGUAGUGUCCCAAUAGAAAGACACAUUGUGCAAAUUAUUAACCAUUAAUAAUGAUAUGUUAAACUUAUCAUUAAUAAUGAUAUGUGUCCCAAUAACAAAGCAAAAUGUGUUAGCUAAUCCUGAACAAAAAAUAUCAUGUAAGAUGGAUGCAUGUCUAAGGCCACGUUAAAGUUUAUCUUAUGGUGAGCUUGUUGGAACAAAACAUAUGGUAACUCUACAAAUUGGUAGGAUAUCCGGAUGGUGAAUUAAAACCUCCAAAACCCAUGGUUAUAAUCACACCUCAAACUAAAACCAAAAGAGUAGCAAAGUAUUUAAUUGCUAGUGGCACGCAAAUGAGAAAUACAAAGCCUAACAAAUCAAUCUACAAAUAAAGUGAAACAUAUAGGUAUUUGUUAACUAAUGAAAAAAAGAACUUGGUAUAUCAAACUUUAGCAUAAAACACAAAUUAAAAGUACUUCGACACUUUUAUAUAUAUACCCACUUUUUAAAAUACGGAGUAUUACACUUGCACAUGCCUCUUAUAUAAAGUUGUUUUAGUCCUUUCACGAUCAAGCUUAACAUAUACGACAUUGUUCUUCUUUUAACUCCAAGCAUGAACUUUCCCCUCCUAAAAACUUAGGCUCCAAAUCAUUUCAAUUGUUGCCUAAUUUUUUAGGGAGGAAAGCUCAUAUUUGGAUCCAAAAGUAGAAAAUGUUAUGGAUGUUAGACCUGCAUAGUGAAAAGAUCGUAACACUCUAUAACAAAUAUACUUAUAAUUUUGAGUUUGUUUUUGUAUUGCAUGUGGUUUAAUAUUCUAGUAAAUAAGUCAUUGAGUUUCCACCUAGGUGUCUCAGGUUCGAGAUUCUCCCCUCAUAAAUUAUUUCAAAAAAGGUAACAUAUUGAAAUUUGAAUAAAAGUUAAGGUGACAAAUACAAAAUUUGCCUUUUCUUCUCUAUUAUGAAACUGGACCAUCAACAUUAAGGCUCAAUUUAUAGACCCAAAAAGGCCUUAUUAAAUUAUAAUUAUUAAAAUGUGUAUUAUAUAAAAGGAAGGGGUCCAAAACAAGUACAAGGGUGCACAAAGCGAUAAAAGGAGCAUGCGGAAAUCAUUUCCCGACAUUUAUCACCUUCCUUCUACUCUAAUGCCAGUGAGCAGUGAUUGAGUGACAUUUACAGGAGAAGGCGCAGGGUCAAUCCAGGGAGUGUUAGCACCACUUGCAUUGCUGCCUCCCGGCUGAUAGUUGAGGCGAACAUUACUAUCCUUGGAUGCAGUUGAUGGGGUAUCAUCCCCCACCAAAAAACUAUUUGUUGACAAUGUUAUUACAUCUUUAAAAUCAUAAUCUGUCAAAUAACUUGGCUUCGACAUGACAGUGCCUAAGUCAAUGUCUCCAGAGAGCAUUGCAGCCACGCGUGACAUAGAUGGCCUCGCCAUCGGUGAUCCCUGCGUGCACAAGAGAGCUGCUCGUAUCAAUCUAGUUGCUUCAGUUUCAUCAAACUCUGUCAAUCUUGGAUCCACCAGCCCCAGAGUUUGGUCGUUUUCAUGUAGAGUCCAUACCUGAAAAACAUUAUGCCACGGUCAAAGGAAAGUAUAAAUAAGUUUUUCACAACAAUGCCAAAAUGAAGCUAGGGGGAUGCAAUUCCUACCCAUUCAAGAAGAUAAAUCUUUUUUGGAUCCAAGUUAUUGUAAGAGUUUGGUCUCCCGCUGAGGAUCUCCAAAACGACGACUCCAAAACCAAACACAUCGACCUUCUCUGUCAAAUGUCCAAACAAUGCAUACUCCGGUGCCAAAUAGCCUCUGCAAUGCAAGAUAAUCAAAUGGUUGCACAAUGUUGCUUGAGAUCAUUAGAGGCAUUAUUAACAUGUGUGUUAAAAUUUCAUGCAAGUAUAAAUGUGUGUGGCCAUAAUGUAUGUAUCCUCUAGAAAAACAAUAAAGGAUGGCUUACAUUGUCCCUGCAACCCGGGUGCUGAUGUGGGUUUUCUCGUCAUCAUAAAGCUUUGCUAGUCCAAAAUCUGAUAUUUUUGGGGAGAGUUCUGCAUUGAGCAAAAUAUUACUCGCUUUGACAUCUCGAUGUACAAUCCUUGGCCUUGACUCCUCAUGAAGGUAAGCAAGUCCUCUUGCUGUUCCCAACAAUAUAUUGAAUCGAGUAGGCCAAUCAAGGUGCAAGUUACUUGU
RNAcentral lists this long non-coding RNA (26011 nucleotides) under Malus domestica (apple). RNAcentral's name for it is "long non-coding RNA (MDOM_LNC005286)". The record is from RNAcentral. Lineage: Eukaryota; Viridiplantae; Streptophyta; Magnoliopsida; Rosales; Rosaceae.